UCCCGCCGGCUGGCGGGGAGGGGUCGGCUCAGGUAUCGCGGCCGCGGCCGCCGCCCGGGAGCGAGCGCUGGGCGCGGGACCGCCAAGGCAGAAUGGGGCGGCUCGGAGCCCGCCGCCUCGUCCUGCUCGCCGCCUGCCUGGGGCUCUGCGAGGCGCUCGGAGCAUCUUUUUAUGGUGAAAGCUAUGUGGAGCUCAGCAUCACAGAGGUUUCCUCGGAGUUAUCACUUCAGUUAACAUUUCAAACCAGCAAACCCCAGGGAUUACUUUUUCUUGCAGCUGGGAAAAGUGACUACUUUAUAAUAGAACUUCUGGCAGGAAACUUAAGGGUGAGAGUGAAUUUGGGGGCAGGUGAACAAGUGCUCCUUUCUGAGCAAAGACUUCGUAUGGAUGACUUGGUGUGGCAUUUCGUGGAACUGUUCUGUGUGAAGGAUAGUAUCUCUCUGGUUAUUGACAAACAUUAUGAGAUGACUGGCCAGAUCACGGGUGGGAGGCACAGUUUACACUUUCAGCAUGGAAUCUACAUAGCAGGCCACGGUGGACUUGAUGUUCCUUACCUAGAUGGAGAGCUCCCCAAUUUCCGUGGAUGUAUGGAGGAUGUGGUAUUUAACCAGAGGGAGAUCCUUACAUCCCUUAGAUCUUAUCCUGGUUUUAAGAAAGUUUAUGAGGUGUCACUCGGAUGCAGUGAUGAAUUUUUUGCAGGAGAAGAUGAAGCCAUCAACUUCUUUAGCUCCAGAUCCUAUGUCGCCUUCCCAGAAUGGAAGAUGCCAGGGCACGGACUGUUGGAAUUCGCUUUGCAGACUGAAACUCAACAAGCCUUGCUUUUAUUUCAGUCAGGUCAAGAAGGAGAUUUUAUUGCUUUGGAAAUAGCAAAAGGCUUAUUGAAGGCCCAUGUAGGAAGGAAUAAGAACAAUACUGAGCUCUCUUCUUUUAGUUUAGUUAGUGACAACCAGUGGCACGUAAUUCAGUUCAAGUUCACCGAAAGGUAUUUGGACCUGAUGGUGGAUGAACAAGGAGUAAGGACAUUGCUGCCUUUGCAAAGCCAACCGUUUGUGUCUGAAGGCCCUCUCUUUGUGGGAGGUCUUGGCAACCACAAGGGAGAAGAAGUUAAGAGGUUACAACUUGCCUUUGUGCCUAGAAAAUCUGCUCGGGGACUCUCUUUCAAAGGGUGCAUAAGAGGCUUGGAAGCCAACUCAAAAAAGAGAGCAUUAAAGGAUGCCCUUCUUUCUAAAGAUAUAGCUGCUGGGUGUAAAAUGAAGAGCAGUGAUAAUGAAAAUCCUUCUGUAACAAUAAGGGAAAACCUGCUUCGGGCAGAGAUUCCCCUUUCCACUGCUGUCCCUGAGGCAGGCCAGCCUAUCCUGCAAGAUGGAAGUAGAUAUUUCUUGGUUCUCAAUAACUUGGAGGUUCAAGAAGGUGGACGAGCCUUACUUGAACAAAGGCACAUGAAUGUGGAUGUGGACCUGGAGGAUCUGGGUAUCCGUCAGUCUCAGAUACUAUUUAAAAUACAGGAAAUACCUGUUCAUGGGUUCCUUCAGUUAGAUGUUUCUCCUGAGCAAGACACAGAGAAGGCCUUUUCUCUGUUAGAUCUGGAGCAAGGAAAAGUUUGGUAUGUCCAUAAUGGUUCGGAAGAACCUAUGGAUUAUUUCACAUUUUCAGUCUUUUUCAGCAGCAAGGAGGAAAUGCCACUAUACCAGCAAGGACAAGUUUCAUAUGUGUUUAACAUUAUCGUCAUUCCAGUAAAUGAUCCCCCAAACCUUAAGCUCCCUGAGGGAAGCCUGCUUCUCGUGUUUGAGAACUCUAAGAAGCAACUGACUCCAAGUAUCAUACAUGUGUCAGACCCAGACACAGAUUCCUUGAGUCUUAGCUUCUCAGUUCUUGGCAACUUCAAUUCAGAUGCUGGGUUUUUAGAAAACACCAAUGAUCCUGGGAGGCCCACUGCUGGUUUUACAUAUGGGGAUUUAAGAGAUGGCAAUAUUUUCUAUGUGCAUAGGGGCCAUCAGCACUCCCGGAUCCUUCUGAGAGCAACUGAUGGAGAGGUGGUUAGCAAUACAGUGGUGUUACGGGUCAUGGCGGUCCCUUGGGACUUUGAAAUAGCCAAUAGUACUGGUGUGGCUGUAGAGCAGGGUGGCACAGCUCUGAUUACGCAGGGCCACUUGUCGGUGGAGGUUAAUGGUGAACGCCCUGAGGUAGAGACCCGCUAUCUUAUCACUCAUCCACCUCAGUUUGGCCAGAUUCAGCGGCAGGGGUCAAGUGGCGAGUGGAAACAAAUCAGCACCUUCUCUCAGCGUUCCGUUGAUCGGGGUCGGGUCCGGUACUGCAGCACAUUCAAGGAUUUGCAGCUAGAAAAUGUUACGGAUCACUUUAAAUUUCGAGUUAACAUAGAAGGAAAAAGCAGUGAAGAGCUGACAUUUCCUGUUACGGUACAAUGGCUGAGGUUUACCCUUCUGAAAAAUGUACCCCUUGAGAUCAGUAAAAUAAACAGGCACAUUCUGAAUUCUGAUCAUUUGCAGGCUGUGACAGAGGGUAUGGAAGUAGCUGAGAGGGAACUGCAAUUUAAGUUACUCACCACACCUAAGAAAGGAAAAUUGCUACUUGGCACACACGUUCUAAAAGCAAACUCAGUCUUCAGCCAACAAAACAUUACAGACUCUAAGAUAAGCUAUGAACCACAGGAGAGGCCCAGGGAACAUUCACAAGAUACUUUUAAGUUCUUGAUGGUUGCAAAGCAUAUAGAAUCAAAAGAUUAUACUUUCAGAAUAAGAUUUAAAGCAGAGAAGAAACACAUUAUUUUAACGAACAGAGGGUUGUUUGUUAAAGAAGGAGAAGGGAAAGUCAUCACAAAAUCAGAAUUAUUUGCUCAAACUUUGGACAGUCAGACUUUCCAAUAUAAAGUCACCAAGAGUCCUCAACACGGGAAGCUGAAAUUGAUUCACUCUUCAGAUUCUCCAGGAGUUCAUGACAACAUCACUACGUUCACCGACCAGGACAUCUUGGGUGAGUGGCUGAUGUAUGUACAUGAUGACUCUGAGACCGAGUAUGAUGAAUUCCUUCUCGUGGCCUCCACCACAGGACCAGGCCCAGAGGGAGUGGUGGGGGAUGGUGGCACAGAGCGUCUGUCUGCAGAAAUGAAAGUCACUGUUUCUGUGGGCUUGAAGAACGAUGAGAAACCAGUGCGUGUGGUAGAUAAGGUCUUUGAUGUUGUGCGGAAUGGCCAGCGCUUGUUGACCCUAGCAGAUCUCUGUUACCAUGACCCCGACUCAGAUUUUGAUGAUGGGCAGCUGCUCUAUACCCGGCGGGGCAUCCCUAAUGGAGACUUGGUGCGAGCCAGUGACCCCACCCAGAAACUCUACCAGUUCAGGCAAAAUGACCUACGGGAAGGACGCGUGCUCUUCAGGCAUUGGGGUGCAGACUCAGCCCGCUUUGUGCUGUUUGUGACAGAUGGUGUCCAUUACACAUCGUCCCUCCUAGAGAUAAGUGUGUCAGAGCCCUAUGUCCGUGUAGUCAACAACACAGGGCUGCUGGUACAGAGAGGAGAGGAGAGCAGCCUUACAACGGCCAACCUCAGCGUCACCACAAACCAAGAUGUCAGAACAGACCACGAGAUCGAAUUCCACAUCCUGCAGCCCCCAAAGCAUGGCAUAGUGUUGGUCAACAGCUCAGGGCAAGGCCGGUUCUCCCUGCAUGAUCUGAAGCAAGGACAUGUGACUUACAGGCAUGGUGGCAGAAGCAGCUUUGAUGUGUUCAACCUGACAGUGAAAGUGAAAGAUGUAGAGUUAGAACUGGGUGUCUAUGUGCGAGUAGACUCGGAAAGCCACAAACAUCAUGCCCAAAUUCUGCACAGCAAGACCCUUGUAGUUGAAGAAGGAAAACCUGUAAAACUGAGCAGAGGAAGGCUCCAGGCUGUACACGAAGGUAACUUUCCUUCAGAGGCAACAUUCAUCGUUAAAGCUCUGCCAAAGCAUGGAUACCUCCGAAGAUCUUUGUCAGAAGAAGGUAGCUUAGGUGCAAAUGAAAAGUCCCCUUUGACUUUUACACAACAGGACAUUAAUGAUGGUUAUAUCCAUUAUGUACAGACAGCUCCUGACCAACAGCUGGACCGUUUUUUACUGGAUGUGGUGAAUGGCUUCCAAGCUGUGAGUAGAGUUGAGAUCUUGGUGGAUAUCAUUCCUAAGUGGAUUCCUUUGGAGGUACAAAAUUUUACAGUCCAGGAAGGUGGUUCCAAAGCCCUUCUGGAAGACCACUUCAAAAUUCCAAGCAAACAUUUCGAGAGACUUGACUGUGAAUUUGUUCUACUCAAACCACCAAAACACGGUUAUAUUGAAAAUUCUCAUUUUCCAAGAGUAGAGCUAAUGAAAUUUACCAGGAAACAGGUGGAAAAUGGAUUGAUUUCCUAUGUUCAUGAUGAUAGUGAGGACCUUCUUGACAGUUUUACCAUCUUUGCAAAUAGCUCAGAGCUCGGAAAACAGAGUGUGCCCCAAACUCUUUUUGUGACUGUCAAGUCAGUAAAUGAUGAGGCUCCAGUAAUUACAGCUAAUAAAAUCCUUCAGGUGUGGGUGAAUUCUGUCACCGAGAUUACCAGUGGUGACCUCUGUGCAGAAGAUGCAGACUCCUCCCCGCGGGACCUUGCCUACUUGGUCUCUCCUCCCAGCAAUGGACAUUUGGCUCUUAAGUCCUUUCCUGGCCACAGCAUCCAGAACUUCACCCAAGCUGAAGUCAACGAGGGCCAGCUAGUGUUUGUACACACCGGAGCAAUGUCAGGAGGCUUUAAUUUUCAGGUUUCCGAUGGUUUGAACUUCGCAGCAGGACAAAUUUUUAGCAUCACAGCUCGAGCUCUAGUCUUAAGCUUAGAAGUAAACAGAGGACUAAGCAUCUUUCCAGGUUCCAUAAAGCCCCUUUCAUCUUGUGACUUGAGAGCUGUGACCAAUGAUGUGGACAGUGCAGGAAAUAGAACCAUAACCUUUACGGUUGUAAGUUCCCCUAGACUUGGGAGGUUGGUGCGAGUAAAUUCUGACAACAGCACAGAGGAUGUUUCCGUAUUUACGCAGAAUCUGGUCAGUGAACAGCUGAUAUUAUACCAGCAUGUGGACUGGGAAAACACAGGCUGGACUGCAGAAGACUCUUUCAUGUUCACGGCAUCCUCCCCACCAGCAGAUCUAGGCCCAGAGGAAUUUCAUAUAACUAUUUCAUAUGAAAUUAAUGAACCUGGUCGGCAGAGUCGUCUGCUUGCAAAUACAGGAGCUGUUGUCAAGGAGGGAGACAAAGUUCUCAUUGACCAAUCUAAGUUAGAUGCUUCCAAUCUCUUAUUUAAAUUGCCCAAAUCUCAGCGCUCUUCAUAUGAAAUUUGGUUCCAAGUUACAUCUCUUCCUCACCAUGGAAGUAUUAUGGUUGGAGAGAGAAAUAUUACCCAAAGAAAGCCCAAUUUCUCCCAGUAUAUAAUUAAUAAAUUUGGAAUCACAUACCUUCAUGAUGACUCUGAAUCACUGGCUGAUAAUUUUACCUUUGCCGUUUGGCCCAACCAAAAGAGCAAGUCCACCACUAAGCCAGAGGCUGACUUUCUUGAAGAGAUGUUUAACAUCACCAUCAGUCCUGUAAAUGACCAGGCACCAGAAUUAAAGACCAAAGGGCUUCGGCUGAAAGUUCUGCAGGGCAGUAGGUUGGUUUUAGGACCUGAAAACCUGAAAGUGGAAGAUGAAGACAGUCCUCCAGAGGAGAUCAGAUAUACAGUCAUCCAUAAUCCUGACAAUGGCUUUUUGGCAAUGGCUCACCAUCUAGACACACCUGUUCACCAUUUCACACAAGCUGACAUUGAUGACUCUCAGGUGUGGUUCAUGCAGGAUGGAAGCCCAUCCUCCGGGGUGUUUUACUUUAGUGUGACCGAUGGCCAGCACCGCCCACUCUACAAGCUCUUCCACCUGGAUGUCAUUCCCAUCUCCAUCACCCUUGUUAACCUCACUGACCUGCUUCUCCCACAAGGCCAGACAACCAUCCCCAUCACCAGUGCUCACCUGUCAGCAAUGACCAAUGGGAGGAGCCCCCAAAUCACUUACAGGAUAACCAGGCCCCUCCAACAUGGGUAUCUGCUCUUUGAAAACCAGGUGGUCAUCAGCUUUGGACAGGAGGAGCUGGAUUCAGGAAAGCUCUCUUACCACAUGACAAACCUGACUGCCUCAGAGGACCAGCUCCAGUUCUCACUGUUUACCUCAGAAAGCAACCUGACAGGACAGACACUGAGCAUCAGGGUGCAGCCUUUACUGUGGGUUACAUCAAACCUGACUGUUUCCAACAGAGUGGCCCAUCGGCUGAGAAGAAAGGACCUUGAUGCUACUGAGCUUGCUAAUAGGACUAACAGUGAUCCCGAAUUUGAAGUGACAGACCCCCCCAUCCACAGCAGACUUCUACGAAGAGUGGGCCAGGCCACCGUGAUGGAAGACACUACUCUAUUCACUCAGAGGGAUGUUGACCAAGGACUGCUGAUGCUCGAGCCACAUGCCAACCUAACAGGCACUGAUUGGCUGAACGACUCUUUCACUUUCUUGCUCAGGGCAGACCGUGUGCAGCCAGCGAUAGGCUGUCUUCCCUUCACCAUAGUGCCACCAGAUCCCUUUUUUUCGCAAACUUUUACACCUGAUGUUUCUUUAUUAGUCACUGCAGAUAACCUUGUGACCGCAGGUCUCUCUCAGGAAAAGCAUGUGGUUUCCUCAGGACCCACAGCACAGACAGGAACUCUGAGGAAGCUGACCCAGACCAGAUGGCAGGAAGCUGAUCCCUGGCAACGACACAGUGGUAAAGAGCCCACUUUAGAUGGCAGGGCCUCUCCCACUAGAGCCAUUUGGCCACCAGAUGCCACUAAAGCCAGUGCUGGGACACCCACCCUGCCCAGAGAGAGUGGUCACUACUCUCUAAUGGUCAUCGUACCGUUGACUGCGGUGAUCUUCCUGCUGAUAGUAACUUCAGUGGCCUUGUGUGUCUGGCUGCUAGGCUGUAAAGUAGAAAAGGCGAAACCUCUUAUCAAGCUCCAAACCAACCUAGAACCCACAACCCCAGGUGCUAGGCCAGAAAGGAGCACAACUAUUCCUACUGUCACGGUGACGCCCCUCCUGAAAAGCUCCAGCAGUCCUCCAGUCAGCAUUUUCAGGGCCCCACAAUGUGAGCACAUGGAAAAAUCUGUAGUCUCUGAGCCUGUGGAAAAAUGUGCUCCCUGGGAGCCGUGGGUGAAUCUGGAUCCCGACAUGGUCAAGCUCUGCCGACAAACCAACCCAACACUGAAGCACAACCAGUACUGGGUGUAGAUGGAGGGAAUUUGUUCUUUACUGACCACGCAAAGGCAAAGUUAUGCUGGUGAGAUCAACUGAGAUAAACCCAGCCCUUGGUGCUCAAUUGGAGCUCCAUGGUUAGAUGUUGGCUGGUGUUUAUUCUAACUUUGGACAACACUCAUCUUAUAGGCUCUCCACCAUGAGCUUUGUGUGCCCUCUUCUGGACCUGAUGCUCUGAGUGCACAUAAGAUUUUGUUACUAUUUAAACCCUUUACCAAGGUGGCCAGACUGUGGAUUAACAUGGGAGUUAGAGUUAAUGGAGGAAGGCUUUGAAUAUUUUUCACCGACGAUUCACUCUCAGAGUGUCAGCGAGGAAGUGCAGGAACUGUUUCAGCAAGUACAAGAGGUAAUUUAUCAAGUCAGUGAAUAUGUUUCUAGUGUUUUUCUGUAAUGACUUUUCCUCCUUGGAGGCUCUAGCUCUGACUUCCUAAUGAAGGAAAUGCUUGGGUGCUCCAGAUAAUGGGACAGUCUCCCCUCCUUUGAAGGUAUUUGUGAACACAUUGCGUCUAGUCUGAUUUGUAACAUCAAGCCUGUAGGACCAGUUUUAUGUGAAGUCCAAGGAAUAGAAAAGUUUGUUGAAUACUUUUGUGAUGCCUCAAUUUGGCUUAACUUUACAAUGAAUCAAAAUAGCGUCAGAUUUAUAUUUAACUUGCCCAGUUGAGCCUCCCAUUGGCAGACUCAGUUUCAGUUUCCAUAACUGCAAAAUGGAGAUAACAGUACUUGUAUUGUUAGGAAUGCUUUGGAUACCAAAUCACAACAUAUCUGCUACAUGUAGGCCUCAGGUUGGGGAUUGGCAAACUUGUUCUGUGCAGGGCCACAUAGGAAAAAUAUUUCAGGCUUUGUGGGCUACAUAUGGUUAUUUUAAAAAAAUUUUUUUAAAUGUAAAAACAAUUAACAGUUCCUGGAUGUGACCCACAAACCAUAGUUCGCCAGUCAUUGGUAGAGCUGAGCAAUAAAAGUAUUGAAUUAUUUUAAAUAAGCAGCCUGAGGUGGACAUUCCAAAGCUGGUUCAACGGUUCAAAGACCUCAUGGAGGACUGACGCUCUUUUGUUCUUUCUGCAUUACCUUCCUUGAGCUAUUGGCACUUAUUUCAUCCUUUUGUUUAGUUCCUUAUGAUUGUGAGAUGGCUGCUGAAGCCCCAAGCAAUACAGUCCCAUUCAAAGGCCAAAAUCCUAGUGGGGGGAAAAGAGAGAUAUCAAGAAGACUUUUCUUUAGAGAGGAUCUUAUGUAUUAAUAUUUUUUAAAAUCUCGAGGCCUUCCCAAACAUUUCCUCCCUUUUACAUCUCAUUGUCUAGAACCGGGCAACGUGAUUCCUGUACCUUAACCACCAUUGGCAAAGAGAGAUGGAAUUCUCAUGAUUGACAACUCUUCUGGGGCUGGGAGAGGAUUCUGCCAGGUCAGAGAUCAAUGAAUAAUCAGCCCACUGUGUAAUUAGGAAAGUAUGGGGAAUGGCAACUAGAUAGGCAAAGAGUAGGAUCAACUGAAAUAUUCUUUGAGUUUUGAAAUACUUGGGCAACACAGCUUUUGAUCUUUCGAAUUGGUAUCUACUUUAAUAUCGCCUUUCUAUAUUUUAAUGAUUUUCUUAAAGCCAGUGUUUCUAAGGUGGGGGGAGAAAUUUCCCCCUAGGAGGCAUUUGGCAAUGUCAGGAGACAUUUUGGGUUUUCACAACUGGUGCUGUGGCAUCUAGUGAGUAUAGGCCAAGAAUGCUGCUGAAUAUCCAACAGUUCACAAGACAGCCCCCACAACAAAGAAUUACCUGGCCCAAAAAUGUCAAUAAUGCCAAGGUCGAGAAAAUCCUGGUUAAAGCCAGAAUGAAGAGUUUUCUUGUAUACCCAGUGAAGAAUUCAUAAACCCAUUCCUAAAUUUAGGCAAAAACUGUAUCCUGAAAACAGAAUGGAAGAGUGAAAAUCUCAUAGUAUGUUUGAAAUUGUGAUUGGCUAAUGGUAUCCAUGAAGUUUUUUUUUUUUUUGAGACUGUAUUAAAAAUGAAACAAAACUUGAGCACACUCAUUUCUAUAGAUUCGUUAUCUAAGAAAAAAAAAAAUUGUCUUGUGUCAACCAGUGGGACCCAUCAUGAGAAAAAGAAAAAAAAAUAGGGUAGGAUAUUUACAAAGGUAAAGAUGAGGUCACAGUGUCCCCAGAAAUCUCUGAUGUGUUCCAUGUGGAAAAAAGCUUUUUUCUCACCCUGUCCCUUUUUUGCUCUUCUAGGCUGCUUUUCCCUCCCAACCCAAUUUUAACUGCUCUUUGUGGAAACAGAUUUCACAGUCUACAGAAUAAAUGGAAGCAUAGCAUAUGUAGGCCUAGAGACAACUUUCCCUGUCUUAGUUCCUUGGCUCUAAUGCCACAGACAACUGUUGCCCCCAUCCCUGGCUAUGGACAACUACUGCUGAAAAUUUCUCUACUCCUCUUCCAAAAGUGAUUCUCUCCUGCAUUUCUGGAUUCCUAAAUUCUGUAUAACUCCCUCAAGUGGUUUUGUUUUUGUUUUUUAGGACUACAGGUAUGGCAUAUGAAGGUUCCCAGGCUGGGAGUUGAAUCAGAGUUGCAGCUGCGAGCCUACGCCAUACCUACAGCAACACCAGAUCCGAGCUGAGUCUGUGACCUACAUCACAAUUCAGGGCAAUGCCGGAUCCUUAACCCACUGAGAGGCCAGGGAUUGAACCUUCAUCCUCACAGAUACUAAUCGGGUUCGUAACCUGCUGAGCUACAAUGAGAAAUCCCUAUUUGAUCCCUUUAUGAAGGGUGAAGAAUGAGAAUCUUAAACCAAGGUUUGCUUGAAAACUGUGCAGCUCAGAAUUGUUCUUAAGCCUGUUCUAAGCUGUCAGGCACUCAGAAGAAGCAGACUGACAGCGUGUACUUGAGCUUAUUCACAGAAAGUGAAGGCUGAUGAGCAUCUUUGCAUCCAGUAAGUGGAGUUUUCCUCCCCCUCAACUGGGCAAGGAGAAUGCCUGUUCUUUGUGGGAAAGCCAGACAUACUUGGCUCUGUGACCACCUUGGCUUCUCCCUUACUUCAGCCAUAAAAUCUCUGGAGCUAGGACUACCAGCCUGGCCAAACAAAAAAGUCUGAUUUCCCUCCUCUUUCUCCUGUUAACUCUGCAGCUCCAGACAAACUCGGUGUCUAUAUUGGAAUGAGACACACAUCAUUGUCUUAAAAAUGAUAAUUCACAUUGUUUGUGAGUGUGUCUGCUAGAGCAGGAACAUUAGUGUGUGAUCCAGACGUCAAGAUGCAGUCAUUAAUCAAGUAAUUCUCAUAGAGCUUGGAAAGAUUUCUUCCAGAGGAUGUGGAAUAUUCUACCAAUUUGCAGAUGGGUUCAAUUAAAAGGAAACAAUGCCUACCAUUUGAUGCUGGCUCAAAUAAAACAUGAAAUAAAACAUCUUGGCAAAGCCUUGUUUAGUGUUGAAAAUUGAAGUUUAGAAAUUGAAAAUCAGUCUGAAAUGGUUUCUCCCAUGUGCAUAACUAUAACUGCAUAGUCUCAACCCUGUCAUACUGAAUUCACUGCUUUUUAACAAAUGACUGGUGACGAGUUCCUAUUUUGGCUCAUUAGGUUAUGAACCUGACUAGUAUCCAUGAGGAUGAGGGUUCAAUCCCUGGCCUGACUUAGUGGGUUAAGGAUCCUGCGUUACCCUGAGCUUCAGUGUAGGUCACAGACGUGUCUUGGAUCCUGCAUUGCUGUGGCUGUAGUGUAGGCUGACAGCUACAACUCCAAUUUGAUCCCAGGCCUGGGAACUUCCAUAUGCCUCAGGUAAGGCCCUAAAAAGCAAAACAAACAAACAAACAAAACCACCAUUGAUUUAAUAAGUGGAUACCUAGGGUUAAUAUCAGAAGAGUGGCCAGUUUUGCUUAAGAGAAGGUACGCAUUGUUUGGGGUGGGCUGGGAGUGGAGAGUCUAAUGUUUUUCUAUAUCUGGAGGUUUUGACUGUUUCUAACCUUUCAGAGAUCCUGUUCAACACUUGAGUGUACUUUCUUAGAGUCAUGGGUUAAUUAGGUAAAGUGGAGAUGACACAGGAGGUAUUCUUCAGAUUUUUGAGGCUGAAGUGGACACAUUUGGAGAGUGAAUGGUAGGUAAUGGGAGGUGAUGGCACGUAUCAGAUAAUAUUCCCUGAAUUGAAGGAUAGGGCUGCACUACAUACAUCUUGAAUCUUUCAGAGGGGGUUAAUAAUUAAUAAUGAGGUUCAGUUUGGUCCUGUGUAGGGAGAGAUGUGGGAAUAAAAGAGGGCAUGGAGCCCACGGUGUGGCAUGCUGAAUGAUGGAGAUUUUGCCAGGUUGUUCAAGAUCACUACUGGCUGUUUCGCAGGGACCUGGAAGAGGCUGCCUUAUCACAGUGAUCUGCAAACAUUUAUUAGGAACCAAUUGUAUGUGAGAUGCUAGAUACUGGAUUCUGCAUCUAGGUAUUAAAGAUACAAGAUUUUGUUCUGAAAGGAACUUUUUGGUCUGUUUCCUCUGUUGGCUCUUCCAGAAUCACACAAGGAAUGCCAGAAGAAAGGAAGGUACAGAAAAGAAGGACAAAGGGAAACAGAGGUUAGGAAAAGGCUUUGUGUCUUUUCAUUUGAAGCAUUCUUAGGGCCACGUCUGUGGCAGCUUGAAGCAACGCUGGGUCCUUAACCCACUGAGCAAGGCCAGGGAUUGAACACACAUCCUCGUGGACACUGAGCCACAACAGGAACUCUGUCUUUUCACUUAAUGCUGUCAUAUGAAACACAAAAGGCUUUAAUUUCAAUGAUGUUUAAUUUAUGAAUUUUUUCUUUUGUCACUGUACCUUGGGUGUAAUAUCUAAGAAAACAUUUCCUUAAUCCAAAGUCAUGAAGAUAUAUACCUUUGCUUGCUUUUAAGAGUUUUCUAUUUUUAGGUCUUAAAAUUAGAUCUUUGUCUCAUUUGAGUUCAUUUUUAUACAUAGUGUAUAUGGUAUGAAGUAGAGGUCCAACUUCAUUCAAUAGCAUGUGAAUAUAUACUUUUCUUAGCACCAUUUGUUUAAGAGACUAUUAUCUUUCCAUUUAAUUACCUUCACUCCUUUGUCAAAAACCAGUUGACCGUAAGAGAUUAUUUUUGUACUCUCAGUUCUGUUCUAUUGAUUUCUAUAUUAUAUUAUUUCUGUACUCUCAGUUCUAUUUUAUUGAUUUUUAUAUUUUUGUAUAUUCUAUUGGUCCUUAUGCCAGCUGCGCCCUGACUUGAUUACUAUAGCUUUGUAGUAAGUUUUGAAAUUUGGAAGUGAGUUCUCCAACUUUGUUCUUCUUUCCCAAGAUUGUUUUGCCUAUUUGGGGCUCCUUUAAUUUCCAUAUGAACUUUAAAAUCAGCUUAUCCGUUUCUGCAAAGAAGGCAUCAAGAUUUUGAUAGAGAUCUCAUUGAAUCUGUAGAUAAAUUUUAAAUUUAGGGACUAUUAAAUCUUAACAAUAUUAAGUCUUAUGAUCCAUUGAACAUAGGCUGUCUUUUUAUUUAUUUAGGACUUUUUAAUUUCUUCCAACAAUGUUUUGUUGUUUUCAAUUUAUACGUCUUGCACUUCCUUAGUUAAAUUUAUUCCUAAGUAUUUUAUUGUUUGUGAUGCUAUUGUAAAUGAAAUUGUUUUCUUAAUUUUAAUUUUUACCUUCUUAAUUUUGUGUAUUGCUAAUACAUAGAAAUACAACUGAUUUUUGUAUAUUGAUUUUAUAAUCUGCAACUUUGUUGAAAUCUUUUAAUUGUUUCUUAGUGGAUUUCUUAGGAUUAUCUACUUAUAAGAUUAUUUCAUUUGAAAAUACAGGUAGCUUUACCUUUCCAGUCUAGGUUCCUUUUUAUUUCAUUUUCUUGCCUAAUUAUCCUUACUAUAACUUCUACUACAGUGUUGAAUAGGAGUGGUGGGAACGGAUCUCCUUGCCUUGUUUUUGACCUUAGGGAGAAAGUUUCACUCUUGCCAUUAAGUAUAUAUUGACAGCUAUAGGGUUCCUGUAGAUGUCCUUUAUCAUGUUGAGGAGGUUCCCUUCUACUCCUAGUUUAUUGAAUGUUUUUAUCGUGAAGGAAUAUUGAACUUUUUUUGGUGGGGAGCAGUCCCGUGGCACAUGGAGUUCCUGGGCCAGGGAUCAGAUCUGAGCCGCAGUUGCAACCUACACUACAACUGUGGCAAUGCUGGAUCCUUAACCCAUUGUGCCAGGCUGGGGAUUGAACCUGCAUCCCAGUACUCCAGAGACACUGCUGAUCCUGUUGCACCACAGCAGGAACUCCAGGAUACUGAAUUUUGUCCAGUAUUUUUCUUGUAUUUAUUCAAGCGAUCAUGUGAUUUUUGUUCCAUGUUCUAUUGAUAUAGUGGAUACAUUAAUUGAUUUUUAGAUAUUUAACCAACCAAUCCCAUUUGGCCAUGGUGUAUAAUCCUUUAUAUAUAUUUGCUGAAUUUCUCUUGAGGAUUUUUGCAUUCUAUUAGCACUCUUGCUAUAAACCUCCCUGAAAAGGGCCAUGAGUUCAAACAGAAGCAUGUGUAUUGAAUGGACAGCAAACAGUUUUUAUCUAGGAAGAUUUGUUUUAUUGUGGAAUAAAAAUAGAAUGAAUUUGGGAAUUUGAAAUGUUUUAAGUCUGUGAGGGAGAAGCUGAAAUAUUUACCUUAGUUUAGAGCACAGAUCACAUUUGGAAAGAUAACUGGUAUUGAGUAGACCCUGGGGGAGGGGUAGUCACCAGAACCAUGCAGAAGUUAACCAUAUACAUUUCUACGCUAAGUGCCUGUGCCUGCAGCUGCCCCUUCCCCAGCUCACCCCACGUGAUUGUUGAAAGUUAGGUUGUCCUAGCAAGCUGGAAGAGCCAGGAGGGAUAAUGCAACCUGUAUUUGCUUUGAGGAUGGAUAUCCAAGAUCAUGGGGUGUUGAAAUGAAACUUUCAUUUGAAACACCAAGGCAAUAGAUAUCCCAGUUCAAAGUAAAGGGCUUCACCAUGAUAAAGUUUUUUCAAAAGAAGUGAUCAGGCUAAAUGACCCUUAAAUUCCCUCUUAUGGGGAAAAGAGUUAGAAAUUGGAAAUGAGUGAAGAAGAAUUUGAGAGAAAGCUGUUCUUUUGCCAUGAGUUCUACCCCACCUCUACCUCAAGGGAAGGUCUAGGAGUCUCUGAAUGUUUAAGCUUAGGGAAAGGAGGUUCAAGGGAUUUUUAAAGAGGUUAAUAUAGGUCUCCUGUGUCUGAGGACAUAGAAUGAUCUAAAGGGUGAGAGAGAGACAGACUAGUUGCUUUCAUUGUUGUUCAAAGGAGAGAUAUCCAUGAGAGGAGGUCAGUUUUCCAGAGCUGUCAGGCCACUGAGUGAAUACAAAUAGCCUCUGACUUGUCAUAGUUUGACUUAGAAUUUUUAGACUUUGUAAUGGUGGGAAAGUGAUAUUCAUUCAGUAGAAACCAUACUUUUAAUUUUGAAUUUUAAUCUUUUCCCAGCAGAAUAUGUGGUAGAUACUCUCCUGAUGCUGGACAGUGGCAAUGACCUGUAGCUCCCAGUCAGCCUGACAAUCAUGAGGGUCAACAACCAAUACACCUACAACCAUCCUAUACCCAUACAACCGUUCUGUUUUUCACUUUCAGUACAGUAUUCAAUAAAUUAUAUGAUAUAUUCACUCCUUUUUAUAAAUUAGGCUUCAUGUUAGAUGAUUUUAUCCAAUUGCAGGCUACUGUAAGUGUUUUGGUCAUGUUAAGGUAGGCUAGACCAAGCUAUGAUGUUCCAUAGAUUAAAUGCAUUUUUGACUUACAAUAAUUUCAACUUAUUGGGAUAUAACCCCAUCAUAAGUCAAGGAAGAUUAGCACAUGAGUGUUUCUUGUGGACCAGAUGUGGAUUCAGAGAACAAGCUGGCACAGGGGUCAUCUUAUCUGAGACAGUAGUCUAGAGAGGCAUAGACUUGAGUGAAGAGAAGCUGGAUUUUUAGAAGAUGAAGAAAAAAGGAAGGACCCGUCAAAAAGUUGCAUUUGCCCUGCCAAGGAAUUGCAGAUGAGAAAUCUCAAGGAUCUCUGAAGAACCAUUGUCAGAGCUCAUGAGAAAAGUCAACUUUAAACAUUUGCAAAAACAAAAUCACAAAUUCUAAACUUUAUGACAGUAGCAGGUAAGUAGAAACUUCUGCUCCCCUGACCUACCCACCUCUGGAGGGGUUGAAACCAUGAAUAGUCAGAGGAAGUCAGAGACAAGAGAAAAAAAGACCCUUUGCUUCCUUGACUUCAGACCCAAACCAUCAGAUGGAGGGAAGCCUCAACUUAAAAGCAAAUUUGAAGUUUUGACUAUUACGUAAGACUGGACAUUUUGAUGCUAACCUGAAAUUGUGAUUUAUGACUUGAAGUGACCCUUAAACUGCUUGUAUUACCCAAGAGUGACCAGAAAAUUCUUGAUGACUUCCCUACCCAGGCCCCACAGGGAUCGAAAGGGACAAUGGCAGACAAAAAUGAAGUUGUUUUCUGCUGACAUUCUAGUUCUGCUUGUUCAGUAUAAUGUUUGCAUGAGAAUGAUGCAUUUCUACUUAUCAGAAUUGCACCUCAGCCACAGGACUGAGUGCCAGAUGCUGUUGAAUUUUAUUCCAAUUUUGUUUUACUACAAUAAUGCAUUAUCUGUAUUCUGUUUCCUCCAAGGGGCCUUGUCUGACCACUCCAGUUAGAUGAUCUCUAUGCAAUGGACAUAUGUCCUUCUUUAUGGCCACUGAGCAUUGGAAACACCUUCCUAAUGUCUGGGAAACCUCCCAUUUUAGGAAGCAGUGCUCCUGUCCAGGAAAAGAAGCUGAAAUGUCAGGUAUUCAAGUCCUACCCUCCCUGCAGCAGAUGUGUCAGCAUAGCCAGCAACAGGAGGGAGCAAGGGCUGUCUAGACUCCAUUCUGGUAACAGAUGGUGGUAGUAGAAGUAACAUCUGGUUUUUAGAGGCAGCAGUGACAGAGAAGAGGACCCGGUGUUGUGGGGUGGGUGGGGGGUCUGCAGUGUCUGUGCCCAAUGGGGGCCUGUGGAAUCUUCAUUGGCCCAGUUCCACCAUGUGAGGUUGGCAGCACUUCCUGGCUCUGUAGCCCCCAUGCAUCCGGUGCUCCUGGAGAUUCAGUGAACUUCUCGGUCAUCUUUUUGUAAUUACUAAUUAUAGUAAUUAUAGAUUUACAAAAAAGUUGCUGAGAUCGUAGAGAGUGUCCUCAUAUGUUCUCACCUAGCUUCCCCCAACAUUAAUGUCUUAUACAGCUAUGGCACAUUUGUCAAAACUAAGAAACAACCAUUGGUAUGACAUCAUUCUCUAAAUCACAUACUUUAUUUGGAUUUCACCAACAUUUCCAUUCAGGGCCCUUUUCUCUUUCAAGAUCUAAAUCAGGACAGAACUUUCCUUUUGGCUGUCAUGUCUCCCAGGUCUCUUUUCUUCUUUGACAGUUUCUUAGAGUCUUUCCUUGUUUUCUAAAAGAACUAGUCAGUUAUUUUGUAGAAUGUUCCUCAAGUUGGACUUACCUGAUGUUUUCUCAUUAGUUGACUGGAAUUAUGGAUUUGGGGGAAAAUUACUACAGAGGUGAAGUGUCUCUUCUCUUCAAGGGUUAAAUCUCAGGGGAUACAUGAUGUCCACAUGACUUAUCAUGGGUGAUUUUAACUUUGAUCAGCUGGUUAAAGGGCUGUCUCCCAGGUUUCUCCACUGUGAAGCUAAUAUUUUCCCCUUUCCAUACUCCAUUUGUUGGAAUGGAGUCACUAAGUCCAGCUCACACUUGAAAAAAGGAAGUUGAGUUCCAUCUACUGGAUGGGGGCAUGUGUUCAUAUAUUAUUUGGAAUUCUUCUAUAAGGAAGAUUUGUCCUUUCUCCUUCAUUUACUUAAGUACGUAUGUAUGUAUCUAUCUGAUACUCAAUCUAGCACAAGAAAAGAGUACUCGUUUGUAAAAAUUCAAGAAGAAAUCUUAGGACCCAGUGGUGGGAAAAACAGCCAGCAUGAGAGGGUCUAUGAAGAUAUUAGAAACCAAGAAAAAAAACCACAUGGAGGAAACAAGAGACAUGCUCUCUGUGACCUGCUCUAUUCCCUUGCAGUGGACCAGCUUCUGACACAAAGUUUAGUUUUACUUCCCUCUCUUGCUGGCCUGAGCCUCUCCAUUGUCCCCAUGCUGUCUGACUGUUGCUCCAGGGCAUAACAUCAUCUGACUACAAUUGAGGUUUGCCUGGCUCAAAUUCUCACGAGAAAGUAACUUAUUUUCUUAGCAGCUUAUAGAUUCAUUCUUCCUGGCCCAGAUCCCCUUGAAUUCAGUUAGCUGUGGCCAGCAAUGGGGUGGAAUUACUUGGUUAAAAAAACAAGCAAACAAACAAAAAACACAAUCAUCUUGUCACCUCUUUGUAAGAGUUCUGAGAAGGAAUGAAUUCUAAAAAGAGAGUAUGAGGGGCUGGCACUGCAAAAUGCUCCUACUGCAUUUUCCUUCGGCUCUUCUUGGAAUAAGGGUUUUACUCCUAAAAUAACAUCAGAGGUUGCAUUUAUUUCGAAGUCUACAUAUGGGCUCUUCUGCUCAACACACAGUGCUCUUUGGUGAUCAUUUUUGUUCUCCAAAAUUUUGGAGUUUUUGCCUAAAAUUUCAUUAAGCAGAUAAAGAGGAGCUUUUGAAGCAUCGAUGGAGGCUUAAGUCACCUUCCCAGCCUUUCCAUCCUCUCCCUAGUGGCUGCCAAGAUCCCCUUCAGUAUGUAGCUUAAGGGAGGUAGAGAAGAUAAAUGAUUUACUUUUCUGGGCCUCAGUUUUCAAGUCAAAGAAAAGUCACUGCUUUCAUAUAUCAUUCUCCUAAAUGAGAUUAUACUGAGGGGCACUGGGAAAUUCAGAGUCCCUGCCUGUAAAAACAUCAUAAAGAUGAAUUUGUAAGCUGCAGGGUCCCAGAAGGCACACCAAACUGAGUCACUGAGAAGUACUCAAUAACAAACUCAACAGAAAUGUGGGCAGGUUCAGGGAAAAUAAGUAUGGCUCUGUAAACACCCCCCCCCCACCACCCGGGGGGCUUGCAAUUGCAGGGUGACUUUGCAGCCCCUCAGACAGAAAGGACAAAGGAAGGACUGGUUCCUAGAGGUAGAGAGAGUGGCUGUAUGGCUAUGAGAAGCAGCCACCCUUAGAGAGUGCAAGGGAAGGGAGAGAGUUGGGGGAAUAAAUACUCCAUAUCACCCUUCUCCUUUCUGACCUCCUGCCAGUGGCUGCCGUCCACUGAACCCAGUGGGAAACCAAAGGGCCAGAUUACCCUUGACCUAGUCCAUAGAGAGAAGCGUCUCAGGACAGAUAGCAGGGUGCAGAGGAAUCCAGCACAAGACAGUCAGAUGGCUUGUGGCCGAGCCUGGUCUACAACCCUACUUUCCUGACUUGUAUCAUCAUGCUCUUUCUACCACAUCACCCUGCCUUCUUCUCAUUUUCUCCUGCCACUCUAGGCUGGCUGCUUCAAGGUUCUUCUCAUGUUAUAGAUGAAAGAGCAGCUUAGGUUUGCAAACUAUCAGGGCCCCACUGUGGCCUGCAUCUUACCCAGUCCAGUAAUGGAAGAACUAGGCCUUCCCUCCUGCUUCUCUUGAGUUUCCUCCCAGCUCUGGAGGCCAGAAAUCUAUCUUAUGGCGCCUCCAUCCUGACCUCUGGUGGAUUUGCUUCUAGACAGAGUGCUUUGCUGAGAAACCCCUCCUUAUGAGCACAGGAACCCCCCCCCCAUUUUUUUGCAAUGCAAAAAGAAGCCCCAAGUUGCUUUCUGAAUAAAUGAGGUUUGCAUUCUUCCUGGAAAGAGUUUUCUUCUCUGAGGUGGUUAUUGCCACGGUCAAUUGAAAAUUAGGAAGCUGCUUUCAGAAAUGUUUGCCUAUGCUUUGGAAUGUAAUUGAAAACAACUGUUUUAUUUCUACUGAAAUGUGUAGAGAGUUAGAACCAGCACUGGCAGCUAAUCAAGGAGGGGUGAAGGCAGAAUGGUUUGGAGGAGGGGAGGGGAAAAGAGUG
Non-coding RNA from Sus scrofa (pig), 19155 nucleotides. The record is from RefSeq and is a predicted model, not a curated record. Lineage: Eukaryota; Metazoa; Chordata; Mammalia; Artiodactyla; Suidae.